This is a long non-coding RNA of Mobula hypostoma (lesser devil ray), 235 nucleotides long. RefSeq lists it as uncharacterized. The record is from RefSeq and is a predicted model, not a curated record. Lineage: Eukaryota; Metazoa; Chordata; Chondrichthyes; Myliobatiformes; Myliobatidae. The transcript is spliced from 3 exons.
GGAAGGGUGCCCCUUGUUCGGAUUCUCAAUCCAUGGGGAUCAGGGCAGAACAUGGAGUGGACAGGGGACUGGAGUGAUGAUUCCCCUCUAUGGAAUCAAAUCCCAAUCUGGACUAGGGAAUCAUUUGGAUUUACGAAGAAGAAUGAUGGUGAAUUCUGGAUGAGAUUUGAUGACUUCUGCCAAAAGUUUGCAAAUAUCACGGUUUUGACACUGGGACCCGACUUUGAUGGUGAUG